Molecule: unclassified non-coding RNA, 12369 nt
Filed under: Nilaparvata lugens (brown planthopper)
Lineage: Eukaryota; Metazoa; Arthropoda; Insecta; Hemiptera; Delphacidae
Description: uncharacterized LOC111044337, transcript variant X3
Source: RNAcentral
GGUGCCUGAAUGAAAUGUCUGCACUCCUGAACUUGUCAGUGGGAAUUUGUGAGUGUUUUUAUAGAUUGUGAAUGGUUUAUUGGAUAUAAAAGAAAGAUUACAUCUGGAAAUAUUACAUCAAUCUUCAGGCAUCAACAUCUUGCACAGAAAGACUUCCAAAUACUGAGUUGAACUACUAGCAAUUUGUGUUUGUGCGUUGGCUGGUGGUUUGCGUUGGUUGAUUGAUGGGGUGUGUGUGCGUGUUUGUUGGGGAAGUCAUGCCUAAUGGCAGUAAGCAUCGACAAGCAGACGUUCACACUGCAAUUUCAGAAGAAAGUCACACUUGAGUUGGCCGUACUCAAUCAGAAGCUAAGUCACCAGCUUCGUCAUGAAAUAACGCAGGCGUUUGAAGAGUCGCUUUUCACUGACUUGGAAGUGCGCAUUGGUGGCAGUGGUGGUGCAGCCCUAGUCAGAACCCACAGCUGCAUUGUUCAGUCGCGAACCCCCAAAUUCUAUUCAAAGGUCUGUGCCAAUCGGCACUCUGUUGUUUUGCCCGAAAAAGCUGAUCGACGCUCGAUUGAAGCUUUUUUUAGGACUCUUUACUGGUGUAACGAUGUGAGUCAAGAGGAGAAUGACAUUCUUAAACAAUUGAAACGUCUCUAUCAACAGCAGCAACAACAACAGGUAGCUACACCCGAAUCGGACGUCUACCUGACCCCGCAAGCGUCGCCGUCUGGUAGCGAUUUCAGCAACCAGCAGCGUUUCUCCUCCAACAGUUUUGCGCUCGAUGAUCAGCCGUCCCUCAGCCAUCUAGAUCAGCAACAGCACAAGAAGAAUGCAGCACUCUAUUAUUCGCUGGUGCCCAUCGAUGAGGUGUUUGACAGCGACUGCAGCUGCAGCACCGGCGGAGUGGGUGUGCUAGAGAGGGAGCUAGCCGAACAAGACCAGCUGUUCAAAUCGUUCAAAUCGAUUCUGAGCAAAGAACAGCGGACAAAGAGGCCUUCAGCAGCUAACAAACGUACAAAACCGACAUCUUUGUCGCUAACGUCUAGUCACAAUCCAAAACAACUAAAUAACUUCGAUAGUCUGCAGAAGACUUUUAAUGUGGAGAAUCUCCCGAAGAGUAGUUCAGCUUUAAAUAACGUUGAUAGUGUACAAAAGAACUCAGCAGGUACCAACCUGGAUAAUCCACACAAGAAUCCAACUCCUAUCAACCUGGAUAGUGUACAGAAGAAUUCUAGUAGUUAUGUGGAUAGUGUAUCAAAAAUUGUAAAUAGUAAGAAAAAAUCGGCGGUGGAUUUGAAGAGAAUUGGAAGGAAGUGUAGCGAAGACGAGGAGGUUAAUAAUUGUGAUAGAAAUGUGCAGGAUGUGGAAGAGAUCUGCAUGAAUAAGGUAGCGAAAGUGGUGGACAGUGGGGUGGGGGUGGGGGUAGGAGUGAAGGAGUCGGAUGACGCGAUGAGCAAUCCGGAGACAGAGGUGUUGGAUGCAGCGUCGUCGGGCUACGUGACGGGGAGCAGCCCCCGUGAGCACACCGUGUCCGUGUCGGAGGUGACGGAGGCCGAGGACCUCAUGCCGCACGACGACAAUGACGUCAUCCGCGCGCGGAGGGGAGGGGGCGAGUCGUCGUCGUCCGUCUCAUCGGACGGCGGCACUUGGGACUCCACUUUCCCUGAGUCGGCCGCCAAAGUCGUCACUGCUGCCAACCUCCCCGAUCUGGUGCAGAUCGAGAACAACCUCAACACUCAGGUCGAUCUGUUCGAACCUGCUCGUCUGCCGAGGAACGGCGUUCGCACUCCUGUCGAACAAACACAUCCCCAACAAUGCUUGAGAAGCCUUGAACUGUCUCCCAAGAGACAAGCUACGGGAGGCGAAAGUAACGUAAAAGAGGUGACUAGUACUGCUUCGUUCGAUAAGACUCCAGAUCAUAGCAGUCCAACAAACGAACUUGACCGCAAAAGUCAAUCAAAAAAUAGAGCAGGCAAUCAAAGUUUGGAAGGAACGUCAUUGAAUAGGGCUUGCAAGUCUCCAGACAAUAAAUAUUCCAAUCUUAACUGUCAUUCUGGGAACGAACAGAUUGACAAGAAUGCUGAGGAUACAUCUUGUAGUUUGUUGAAUAAUGGUUGUAAAUCUCCAGAAAAAUCUGGAGACAAUCACUGUGCAGCUUCAAAGAAUAACUUCUUUAUCGAUGCGUCCAGUUUGCUGGAUGAAAGUGAACUGGCCAAUCUACAAGUGACUAGUAACAAUGGUGGUAGUUACACGUGUCAAAACGAUAUCUGUUGCAAUGUGAUUGAUGGUAAUUGCAAUGAAGAGGUGAAAGUUGAAAAUAAAAAUGGAAGUCUAGAUGUGAAUGGUAGUGAGAAAAAAUCGGAGGUUAGUCCAACUGCUGAAAUGACGUUUGAAGAGCGGAGAUCUAGCCUAAUCAGACGUAAUACUUUUGAACUGGAUCCGGAUGAUGGAAAGAAACUAGUCAAACUUCAAGAGGAGUUUAAGAAGAGUAAAGAUUUUGAAAAUACUUGCCGAGAAAAUUGUGUGGAUGUGAAGAAGCCAUUAAAAUCACCCGAUUCACUGUCGAUUGUCGCUAAGAAUAUGUCGACACAGCGACAAGACGACGACAUGCACUCUCCUGACUCAUUAAAUAACGAUGCGCCAUUAGAGGGUAUGUUCGACGACAGAAACGAAGAGGAGAAACGACGAAUACUGGAUAAAGUGAACAAAGACAAAAUGAAUAAUCAAGAUGGCAGCGAGUAUGAUUCCACGAAACUAUACAAUAGUGGACUGUUCUAUAAUGUGGAGAAUACUUUGGAUCAGUGUUUCAAGUAUGAUUCGAAUAGGUUGCAUUGUGAUAAAGAUGAUUGUUCAGUGAAUGAGAAUGGGGGAAGCAGUAGGAUGAGUGACUGCAGUAGUACUCUGAGUAGAAGUUCGGCAGCUUGUGUGGGAAGUGUCGACAGGCUGAAUAGGAUCGAAUGCAUGCCAAUUGUGUCGGGCGGGGCUUCUAUCAGUGAUUUCUCCCCUCCCGUCAGUUGUGCCAGUCCUCUGGCCAGACGCAAAACAGAGAUGGCUCCGAUCUUGUCCGGAGGCUCAGUAUUAAUGCCUGAAAACGAUCAAAAAAUUGUACAAAAACCGAAAACUACCAGCGCAUUCACUGCGUCCUGGGUUGUGGACAUGAGUGACUCUGUCAAAUCCCCAGAAAUGCGCAAAAAGUCACGAUCAAACUCAGCCAGAAGUUCGGCGUCCAGUGAGGAACAUGACGAUCUAUCGAAAUCCAACUCUGAUGCCGCCAAGUCUCCACCAAUCAUGAAAACUAGUAAUCUCGGGUUUUUCAUACCGUUGGACGAUCCCAAAACUGACAAACCUGGAAAACUAGCCCCGAAACUCGAUCGACAAGACUCAAAAUCGGGUUCCCAGACCAGUAUUAAUCAAUCUUGUGGAUUUUUUAUUGAUCUCACUACGAAUGCGGAAAAACCGAAUGUCGAGAAAGUAGUUGAAAAGAGUAGUAGUGUGAUCCAGCCAGCUGAUAAGAAACUAUUCUCUAUGUUCAUUGACAUUAGUGAAACAUCUUCAACAGAGAAUGUGUCACCGAAAAGUAAGACCAGCUCACCGAACCUAUUUGCCAGCAAAAAAUUGAAGCCCAAAACGAUUGCUAGCAGAUUCCAGACAAAGCAUGAUGAUUUACGUUCGUCGGAUUCACAGUUGAGCUCUGAGUCGAGUAUUGAGAUGACUGUAGAACACCCAGAAGUGGCUCGUGGUAAGCAUUUGUUUGGCGAUCAAUUGAAUUGCACACCACCUCCCAGUCGACAAAUAUCUACUAACGAUAACUCUACAGCCGAUUUAACAAGCAGUCAACACGAGUCACGGAAGAAAGGAUUUUUCAUGUUUAUUGAGGCUGAGAACAGUUCGCCUGUACCCAGGCGCAGAACACUGCCAUCUGGAUUGCGGCCCAAUUCGCAACGGCACUCGUGGAAUUUAGACAAUGGUAAAAAUGGUGGCGGUGUAGUUGUCAAUCAAGAGGUGAAAAAAGAACACAAACGAGCUCACAGUGUGUCCGUCGAUAGGACUCUGGCCACAUCGUUCAGUAUUGCCAACUGUGAUGGCGAGAAAAAAUCGUCUAGUGUCACAUCGUUGGUGAAAAACAACAACAAAGAGUUUAAUAAUGUGAUGUUGGAUUCAGGCCCGGCGUCCAUAGAUGAAGCCUCGAUGCAGCGAAAUAGUCGCGCCAUGAUUUCGUCGUGGCAUGGACCGGUGAAGCCAUCCACCGAACUGCAGAAAGUUCUCGCUCGCAAAGAGUUGCGCGAAAGUAAAACGAUGCUGGGAUUGAGUAGCAAGGUGGGCGAAAACACGGCCAGUGAGACGAGUUUGAGUUGUGAUGAAACCUACGAUCUGCGAACGGACAGCGUGGUCUCGGACUUGUCGGACAGUGGGAAAGGAGGCAACAACUCGACGUUCAUAGUGGGCGAUGUGUCGAAUGUUGCAAACGCCGCCACCAGCAACAUGGAUCUGUCGACGCCCAGCCACGAAAUGGCCGCCAGUGAGUUGUCCAACGACAGCGAACCAGUUGUCAACGAGGAAGUGACCAAAAAACUGCAGACAGUUCGAGAGGAGAGCAGCAAGAGUUUUGUGAAGUUGUCGGACAUGGACAAGGAUCCUCCGCCUGUGAAGUUGGUGACUCAUAGGAAGUCCUACGAUUCAAGCGCAAGUCAGCACCGGAUGAGCCGCAGUAUUCCUGAGGCUGGGUCGUGGCUGGAGAACAGGUUGAUGACUCGGUCGGCAACCAGUCGGUCUCUCGGUCGCCUCUUCCCCCACCUACAGGUCCGCUCGCCGACCUCCACUGACGACGGAUUCAAUGCUGCCACUGACGUCUCCGAAAUGAGCAGUAUGCACAGCAGCAUCGAGCCUUCUGUCUUGGAGGGCAGCACGACAACAGACGACGGCUCUAUGUCGGUGCAGGGUGGCGGCGCCUGCUCGCGUCUGGGCGAAGAUCUACUGCGCAUGUUCGUGGAGGAGAUCAGCUGCGACGUCGUGGUGGAGGUGGGAGGGCGUCGACUGCGCGCGCACAAGUGCAUCCUGGCAUCGCGGUGCCAGUACUUCGCCGCCAUGCUCAGCGGUGGAUGGGUUGAGUCGGCCGGCAAUGUCAUCUCCCUCCAGGGAUUCUCAUAUAACGCCGUGCACUUUGCACUCUGCCACAUCUACAGUGGUACCAGCAAUAUUCCUGAUUCGAUAAAUAUAGUUGAGUUGGCAACACUGGCCGACAUGCUGUGUCUCGAGGGCCUCAAAGAGGUCAUCAUGUACACGCUCAAGGUCAAAUACUGUCACUUCUUCCACAAGCCAUGCGCACUGUGCACAGUGGGUGUGCUGGAGUGCCUGCCCCUGGCGGCCGCCUACGGCCUCGACGAGAUCUACCGCAAGAGUCUGCGCUGGAUCAGCAAGCACUUUGUGCGGGUCUGGCCCACCAAGGGAUUCGCCACUCUGCCUCGCGAGCUCAUCGACAAGUGUCUCAAACAGCAUGUUGUCCAUAUGAGCGUUGAGAAUGUGCUGGACACGGUGAUGAGCUGUGAGAAGCUGGAGGCGACCAUUCCACAGGUGCGGUGGGCCGACCCUGUAUUCGCAGUCACUCAGAGGCUGCACGACACGGCUGUCAAAUUCAUCACACAACACUUCAGUGGUGUUCUCGCUAGUGAAACGUUUUUAUCGUUUGGCGUGGACUCGGCAUGGAACCUGGAGCGUGUGAAGAAGACACUGCUAGGCGCAGUGGAGAGGGGAGGUGGGGGUGGUAGCGGAGGGGUGUCUCCCGACCAGGCAUGUCGCAGUCUCGCCCGGCUCCACACUCUGCUAGCGGUCGUCCCCGACGAUCAGUCUCCCACGCCAUGGUCUCCUGAGUUUGUGGGUCUGGUGGGCGAGCUGGCCGCAGCGUGUGAGAGCAGCGUGGUGAAGCAGGCGUCGCGUGCAGUGCGCAGCAGCGGAUGGCUGCAGUUGGACUGCGCACUGCGACAGCGCAUACAGACGGCCGCCUGCCUCGUCAUUGUGCCGGGCGACGAACGCCGUCGCAACCGUAUGCAUCACUCGCUGCACAGGCGUUCGGAGGACAGAAGUAGCAGUUGCGGCAGUAGUGGUCUGCGCUCGAGCGACCUGCACCAGGUGAAAGUGGUGAUGAGUCAGCAGAACGUGGGCUCACGUAAGCCAGUGGCAUCGGCUGAUGCGACAGCCGCCACCAAGACACUCAGCAACCGAGCGUCAGUGCCACCCGCCAACAAUCAGCGUGCGUCAGCCAGGCAUGCUGACGAAAACGCCCCGGCGAAGACCAAGUCCUGGCCGCAUCGCUUGGCUGAGGUGAAAUCAAGGUACUUGGAGCAGAGAGCGCCCCUGAAGAGCACGACAGUGACGACAAACAACAAGACAGGUCCAGGGUCAGGGACAGGGCCACCGCCCAAGUGCUGGAGUGUGCCCGCGCAGCGCAAGGGGGUGGGGGGAGUGGCCACCAAAGGGGGAGCCACCAAGGCGGGCGGCAUCACCAUAUCCAGUUCGGACUCGUCGCGAACCAGUUCGCCGGCCAUGCGAACGCGGUCGCUCGGCACGCGAACACUCUUCACCGGCACACAACACCAGCGGAAGCCCAGCUCCGAAACGCUCUCCAUGUCCACUGACUCGCUAGUCGAGGUGGCAGCAUCGAAGCAGGUGAAGAGCGAGCCGGUGGAGGUGAAUGGGAAUGUGCGCAUGCGCACCACUAAGAAGGCAGCGGCUGCAGCUGCAGCAGUCGCCGGAAAGACCAAGUCGGCCGAGUCGCUCCUCGCUACCACCAAACACCAGCCUAAGCUCAUUCACAACAACAAGGGGUCGUCACCUGUGCCACUAGCCAAACGCACGCCCACCAGUCAGACUUCGCCACGCGUGCUCACACGCGCGUCACCCAAAAUGGCGGCCACGUCCGCAUCAAGCGCCGCCUCGCCACGUGCCACCACCACAUCGGUCACCAAAACCACCACCACCACCACCAAUGCGGUCAAACGCAACACCACCUACCGCGUGUCAUCCGCCUCCAAGGCACCGCUCAGUCCCACCCCCAACAACAAAAUGGCCGCCGCCGCCAAUAAGACGAAACUGAACAACAGCAACAACAACAGUCAACAACAGCGUAAGGCGGUGAACAACAACUGUCAGGCGUCGCCGUUGUUGAACCGGGUGAAGCAGAUGCAGCAGCCGGGGGUCGGCUCAAGGUCGGGCACUUUCCUCAAGGAUGAGCCCACUGUGCUCGCCAAGCAGACUGCCCAGGCGCCAACCGCUACUGGCGAACGUUAGGGCGCAGAGAGAGGUAGGCCACACUAGCACUACAUUCAUCUGAAGGGGUCAUCGUUGGAAGACGAAGAGAGAGAGAUAGAUCAGACUAGAACUUGUGUUGAGCAGUCCAUUCAUCUGAAGGGGUCAACUUUAGAGUGAGAGAGAGUGAGAGAGAGAAAGAUAGGUCAGACUAGAAGUUGUGUUGAGCAGUCCAUUCAUCUGAAGAGGUCAACGUUAGGGUGAGAAAGAGACGGAUAGGUCACACUAGAACUUGUGUUAAGCAGUCCAUUUAUUUGAAAGGGGUCAACGUUCGGAGACUAAGAGAGAAUGUGAUAGAUGCAUAGAUCAGACUAAACCUCGUGUUAAGCAGGUCUAUUUGUCGAGUCAAGACGAUUAUUUUUGUAAAGGGAAUUAACGUUAGGAGACAGAGAAACUUUCGCCCUUUCUGAUUAAAAUACAUCACUGCAAGAAUGUUACACUCAGUAUGAGCAAUGAGCGGCUCAUUAAACUUUCUCGAGCCCUGAAGUAUGAAUAACUGACUCAUACUCUUCAGAGUUUCGUUUGAAAAGAACUUAUUCUGGAACCCCUAAUUUUAAGUUCAAAGAACAUUUAAUUCAUCAAUUUUGAGUCCUGAGAGCAUCUAUUCAGGUCAUUGGAAAAUUCCAAUCAUAUAGUUGUUAGAGAGAAUACACAAACACGUUCUAAUGCUCGAUAUUUUUGGCGGUAUUUGUGAGUAUUUUCCUUAUAAUAUUUUCUGUACUUUGAAAAAAAUACAUUUUUAAUAUUAUUCUGUUCGUAACAAAAUUUAAGUGGUGAAAUCACUGUGUAAGUGUAUUAAAAAUUAGUUCAAAUAUAAGAACAUGACACUGCGUACAAUUACAAACUUUUUCCAUCAUUUGAACUCGAAAAGAUACAAUAGCAUUAAAUUCCGAUCUACUGUUUUACAUUUUUGUGUAAUAUCUCUUGAAAAUUACUGGUAUGAAAUCUUGCGAUAGUUAAGAUAAGUUGUGUAUAUAUGCUUUUUCCAAUUUUGCUCUCUCGAGAUAUUGCAAACCACUUCAAAUUUUACUCAAAAUUGAUUUGGCUGACAGAUGAAGUACUUUUAAUACAAGUUCUAGUGAACUACCUUUCAAAUAUCUCUUGAAAUAUUUAUUAUUACUAGUCAUUGUGCCAUUAGAAGGCUUUAUUGUUUAAAGGUAUAAUGUAUUUAAAAAAUCUAGAUUGAAAAUUAAUUAUCAUUCAAUUGGAUUAUUCAAAUCAUGCUCCAAAGUGUACAUAGCUAUAUUUAGAUUAAUGUCGAUUACCUGUUUAUAUUAUAAAUAUAUAUUAUUUAUUUUGUUAGAAACCUGUCGAUGUCGAAAUAGGUAUUUGAAUCAUGUAUUUGAAUGUUGUUGUAAGAGGUGGAUAGUUUAAAAUAUUGAAAAAUACUGGUAUUCCUAUAGGAGUAUUAUACUGUAAUAUUAUACUAGGAGGAUUAAAAUGUGUGGUGUGGCUAAAAUCUUUGGAAAUAUUCCAAUUUUUCAAUAGCGUGGAUGAACCUUCAUAAUUUUCCUUAGUCACAAAUAUUUUCAUGUUCAAAAUUCCACUGCCCAUUUAUUGAACAUUUUUCAAUAGAAUUCAUUGUUAUUCAUUAAUCAAUCGUUAGAGUAGUCAUAGUAGAGAAUUAAUUAAAAUUAUCUUUAUAUUUGAAAUUAUUUCAUCAGCCACAGUAGCUAUGGAAAAUAAAGUCAAUUUUCAAAAAAAUAAUUUCAAACAAGUUAGAUUUUGAUAGAUAUUUGAAAUACUUGUUUCGACACUUAUCAACGAUUAGCAUUAUUAUUUACGUACUUUUUCUAUUGUGGUAAAAUUCACAGAUGAAAAGGUAAUAAAAGUUAUGUUUAUUGAAAAUUUUAUGUACUGGAAAAUAUCUUGAUAUGAGUAGUUUGCUUUUUAUAUUUUUUCAAGAAAAUACUUAUCACGAUUUAUCGAGUAGUUUGUUCAGCAAACUUAGCGUAGUUCUGUCAUGAAAUUACUUAAAUUACUCAAAUCUCUCUCGUUAUCACAAUUUCUCGAUACAAAGAACACGUAAGUGAUGACUUUGAGGAAUUGGCGUCACUCUAUUUUUAUUUAAUUCGUAGAAUAAAAAUUAAAAAUAUUGAACUUUAGAAUUAAAUAUUAAGCCUGGUAGGUUUCAAAAUAUACUUUAGCUACCUUAGGAUUUGGCUCCAUGGUAUUUUAUGUAUGUUGGUCAGUCAUGUAUGUCUAAAACGUGGUGCUUCUUUAACCAAAUCAUAUACAUAGAAAACUAAUGAGUAUAUUAUCUGUACCCCACCGAAGAAGCCAAUAAAUUUAUUCGCAAAAUAUUAGCAUUAUUCUUUUGCAAUACGGUAAUUAUUAAUGAAUGGUUGUAUUCACGGACUCUAAUGCUGAUUUGAUUGUCAAUUUCAAAAAUUAGAAGCAUUUGAAUUUGUUGUUAUUUCUCUGUAAAGAGUUUUUUAUAGUAUAAGUUUAUUAUCACCUUGGCAUUUGGUAAGUGUUUUUCAUGUAUUAAUAAGUUCAUAACUUAUAACUGACAACCUCGACUUUGGUUGUUGUCUGAGGAGUAAUAUUCUCUAAUUUGACUUUCAUAUAGUUGAAUUAAUUACUGUACAAGUUGAAAACUUUUCCUCAAAAAUGUUUUGUAGAAAAUAAAAUACAUUAGAUUAAAACGUUUAAACCGUUUCAAAUCAAUCUUCAAAUAUGUUAUUAAUUCAUUCAAAGGAAUAUUCUAAUUAACAUUUUUAAAAUUCUACUCUUCCUAAAUUAUUACUGAAAGAUAAUGUAUUUUAGAUAGAAAUACGAUAAAAAUUAAUCAAAUUAUACUCAGUAGGUUGACUGACUAUCUUCAAUAUCAAAUCGUUCACUACAAAAAAAAUUAAAAAUACAGCUAAGUUAUCUAAAUCCCCGUCCUAUUAGUCAUAUAUUUAUUGAAAUGAGAACCUACUAUUUGCAUUUAUGAUUUUUUAUUACAUAGUUAUGUAAGGAACUUACAUUAUUUAUUAGUGAUUAGAAGGAUUAAGUACCUUACCAUGACUGAUUAUGUGUAUGUUCUAUUAAUUUUCUACAAUCUAUAGCGUAAUAUUCUUAUUAAAGUGUUUUAUAUUGUUUCUUUGAAGACUAUUUACAGAAUGGCAGUGAGCAACUCACCAAUAAAAUUGGUGGUGGUACUAAUUAAUUAUAAUUUGUAUACUCAAUAAUUUCAUAUUAAAUUAUACUUUAAUAUCAUUUACUCAUUUUCAAAAUCGAUGUUUUUGCAUAGUCCCUAUAAUACAUCACAACAUACUGUAAUAUUUAUAAUGGUCCAACAUUAACAAGAUACAUUCAUUGUUUUGUGUACUAUAAAAUGCAUUUGGACUGGUCUAAACGUUCAUCAAAUAACUAUUCAUUUAACUUGCCUGACAUUUCAAAAUCUGAAUAAACCAUGACUAUUUUUAAUUAAAUUUGUUCGAACAACUCUUAUAUAAAUAUCAUUAAUAUAAUCUUCUAUGUUUCAAGCUAGUAACAGUUAAAAUACUUAUUCAAGUUUAUUGUAUAAAAUCAUAGAGAAACAAUAGCAUAAGAAACUUGAGAAUCUGUUUAAAUAAGAGUCAAUUGAAAUGAGAAUCUGCUUCAAUUGGUAAAAACCAUUGUUGAUUUAUAAUGGCGGUUUCCGUUUCACUUCACAUUGUGAAAUUAUAUUAGAUAUUUAAAUUCAGUUAAAAAAAUUGUUUAAUUUUCAAAGAAAUUUUUCAAGGCAACUUACUAUUGGAUUGGACCAAAUUCUUGAGAAUUUUAAUUCAAGUUGCUCACGUUCCUCUGUAUAGUCUUCCAGACUAUAGUUUUCUAAUUAAAAUUUUUGAUAACUCCUAAAUGUUGUUUAGUACACAAGAUUAUGAUACAUUUCAUCUAGAAAUAGACUUUGUAGAUGUAGAUGUGUAGAUGUUUUGUCUUCAGUUUUGCUGUAUUUAUGUCAAUUACUAUAAUUGUGUGGAUGCGUAGAGUGGAUCUCUCAAUCUUUGACUAGAUUCACAAAUUAAAUCUCGAUCAUAAUAUUGGGUAGUCAUUGCCUUUUCACUUAUCACAGUAAACCUUAUUCAAUUCAUGAUGAAAUCAGUUAUUUUUUGGUCAUAAGUUUGUGUUUCUCUUUCGCUUGAUGGAUAUCCUUCGAGUUCCAUAUAUCCUUGGAAUUUUCGCUUUGUAUUCCCCAUUUACAUUUGAGUAAUCUUUUGAAAAUUUAAUUUCAAUUAUUUUAGAUUUUAAAAAAAUGAAAAAAAUUAAAUUAGAUUUAAAAUUAAAUCAUAAAUUAUCAGAAUCAUGAUCACGUACAGUAAUAUUUAAAAAUAAUUGACCGCUUUAUAAUAUAUUUUUAGUUUCUGUACUCAAUAUUAAAUAACCAUGUGCCAGUAUAAAGGUGACCAUUUGAGUAAUCAUAUACUCUUAAAACAUGACACGAUUACUAUUAUAAAAUAUUAGAUUUAUAUUGUAUAUAUGAAAACGCUUGUGUAAAGAACAAAUUUGUGCAAUAAAGCUUUAAGGCAUCAGAAUAUUAUAAAUAGCAUUUGAGUAUCAUUUUUGAUGUAAUAUAAUAUAUGUUUUACAAGCUUCAUAAUGGUCAACAAGAAACUCAGUUUUGAUUCUUAUGAGUGUUAUCGUUUGAAUGUGUGUGCUUGAAUAUAUGUAUAUAAUAAAGUACACAUAUCGUAAGAAUUAGUCACUGCUUAUGAUUUUGUACUACGUUUGAGAAAGAUUCGAAAUCAUUUGUUGUUGGACUGUAAAUAUGUGAUAUUUUAUUGUAAAUUCUUUAUUUUUAUUUCAUUGUUCUAUAUUUACGGAAAGUCUCAACUAGAUAUCAUUUUAAAAUUAUUUUGCUAUAGUUAAAGAUGACGUUUAUGCACUCGAUAAAAAUACUAUAUUUACUAUUUAAAUGAAAAUCAAUUUGUUUAUUUUGUAUCUUAAUCUGUAAAAAUGCAAGUAUAUUUUUACAAUAUAAGUUUGUAUUUUUUUUAUUGUUCGAAGCAUUUCAAAUUGUUUUCAAUAAUAUUGUGUAUAACUGAUAGCCAGAUGACUGUGUAUGUUUAAUGGAUGGAAAAUUGUUUAACGUGAAUAAAGUUGCAAUUCAAAUUA